RNAcentral lists this ribosomal RNA (161 nucleotides) under uncultured bacterium. RNAcentral describes it as "partial 16S ribosomal RNA". It matches the Rfam family "Bacterial small subunit ribosomal RNA", at positions 358 to 511 of the family's 1533-position model. The record is from RNAcentral.
GGAAUCUUCCACAAUGGGCGAAAGCCUGAUGGAGCAACGCCGCGUGUGUGAUGAAGGCUUUCGGGUCGUAAAACUCUGUUGUUAAAGAAGAACAUAUCUGAGAGUAACUGUUCAGGUAUUGACGGUAUUUAACCAGAAAGCCACGGCUAACUACGUGCCAG